Molecule: ribosomal RNA, 501 nt
Filed under: Candida tropicalis
Lineage: Eukaryota; Fungi; Ascomycota; Pichiomycetes; Serinales; Debaryomycetaceae
Description: eukaryotic LSU rRNA
Rfam family: 5.8S ribosomal RNA (bases 144-297)
Source: RNAcentral
GGGUAAGGAUUUGCUUAUUGCACCACAUGUGUUUUUUAUUGAACAAAUUUCUUUGGUGGCGGGAGCAAUCCUACCGCCAGAGGUUAUAACUAAACCAAACUUUUUAUUUACAGUCAAACUUGAUUUAUUAUUACAAUAGUCAAAACUUUCAACAACGGAUCUCUUGGUUCUCGCAUCGAUGAAGAACGCAGCGAAAUGCGAUACGUAAUAUGAAUUGCAGAUAUUCGUGAAUCAUCGAAUCUUUGAACGCACAUUGCGCCCUUUGGUAUUCCAAAGGGCAUGCCUGUUUGAGCGUCAUUUCUCCCUCAAACCCCCGGGUUUGGUGUUGAGCAAUACGCUAGGUUUGUUUGAAAGAAUUUACGUGGAAACUUAUUUUAAGCGACUUAAGUUUAUCCAAAACGCUUAUUUUGCUAGUGGCCACCACAAUUUAUUUCAUAACUUUGACCUCAAAUCAGGUAGGACUACCCGCUGAACUUAAGCAUAUCAAUAGCCGGGAGGAAA